AAAAGUCAGAGCAAGAGCAGCCAUUAGACUUCUUUCAGGCUUCAUCUGGAUUUUGGACUCUGGAGUUGGAGAAACUGCCAUAAAAAUUUACGUGUGCAGAGCAAUGGCCAAGCAAAGGAAAGACUUCCCCGAGUUAAAAAAGAAGAUGAAGAUACAAGCUGGUGAUGAUCCAGAGCAGCUGGUCUCAGGAAAUGAAGUAAAACUCUGAUCACCUUUUCCACAGAAACAAGAAUAAAUUGCGACUAGUCUCAAUGGCUGAGAUGGAGGAGCAACACAGCGACACGUUAACCAGACUGCUGCAGUUCCUGUAUGAACUGAGCAACUCUAAAAAUCCAAGGAAAAGCUGAGUGUAUUUUAUUUAAAGCUCAGAUGGACCUUCAUGGACUAACAUGCAGGCUGCAUUCAGGACUUUGUCACACUGGUAUAUGAAGAGUGGUAACAAGAGAAAUUGUGCACACACAAUGUGUCACUUUAUGCUUGCUCUUCUCCAGCCUCUGGUGUCACUUUGUAGUAAUUAGUUUUACUAUUGUCUUAUUUGUUGUGAUUUAGGGUGUGUGCGCACAAGCAGAGGUUUUUGUUUGUAACCGUAACCUCGUUUUCAGAGCCUUGUCUAACAUUUAAUGGUCGUGAAAUAUGUCAGACUUUUUCCUCUACUUAAACAGCUAAGAGCAUUUGAACACAGUGG
Oreochromis aureus is the source of this 685-nucleotide long non-coding RNA. NCBI's taxonomy places the organism in Eukaryota, Metazoa, Chordata, Actinopteri, Cichliformes, Cichlidae. The record is from Ensembl.